RNAcentral lists this long non-coding RNA (1024 nucleotides) under Gossypium raimondii (Peruvian cotton). RNAcentral's name for it is "long non-coding RNA (GRAI_LNC003145)". Lineage: Eukaryota; Viridiplantae; Streptophyta; Magnoliopsida; Malvales; Malvaceae. The record is from RNAcentral.
UACAGGUCAGCCAACACUGCGAUAAAAGGGUUCAGGUUUUUGGUUAUGGAAAAAUGAUAAGUUCAACAGUUUACUGCUGAAAUUGGUGACAAUGAAAUCCAUUUUAGGGUUAAGUACUGAUAUCCCACUUUAGUUGUGAUUUUACAUUCAAGCAGUUCUAGCUUUCAAACCCAUUUUCUACAAAACUUUUUGAGAAAUUUUAAAGCCUAGCUUCAAUUCAGUUUCGCUGCUCCUUUCCCGGAUUUUGUUCUGGAAAAAGCAUUAAAAACAAUAAAGAGAUGAAAAGGAAAAGGAGGAUAAGGAGAUUGGAGACCCACAAAAUAUAAUUCAAGUAGGAAUGAGUCCUUGUGUGGAUUCUGUACCGUGAAUUGUGGAAGUACCCGAAAAAGUAUAUAUUAUCCCUCGGUUCAGUCUGCAGUUGCCCAACUGAACCUUUUUAAGUAAAAAAAAAACAGCUGAACCUCUGAUGAGAUCUCUUGGCCUCCAUCAGACACCAACAAAACUGAUCCACCCUUUGUCUGUCUCUUAUUGUUUCUUACUCAUACAGCUGCCUGAUGUCUCUCUUGUCUAUGCAAUCAAACAUCCCCAUAAUGCAUUAAAAGGUCAGUGCUUGUGCAUUCACUUUCUUCCCCCCCCCCUUUGAUUUUCCCUCUUAGACCCUGUUUUAUUGGUUAGAGGAAAUGAUUUCUUUGAAAAUAUUAUGUUCAUGGUUUCUAUUUUGCAUUUGUUUGUUAUUGAUGGGUUCUCCUGCAAAUUUAGAAAGAUGCCUUUGUUUAUUUGCUAUUUCAUUCGGAGAAAUUCCCCAUGGCAGUUGCCUUGAACAGUUUGGGGUGUGAUUUGUGAUUUGUUUCCUUGUUUCACAUGUGUAUAUUGAAAUGAUGUCAAUUAUAUUUAUUAGUAAUAGUCAGAAACUGAGAAGCUGUUAUUCACUGACAAUUACCAUGGCUUGCAUCAAGCUUGUCCUAUGCUUGUUAAUUUCAGUGCACUUAGGUAGUUUUGUCCACUAUCAUGGGCAUGAGAGGGG